Long non-coding RNA from Cyprinus carpio carpio, 1066 nucleotides. Lineage: Eukaryota; Metazoa; Chordata; Actinopteri; Cypriniformes; Cyprinidae. The record is from Ensembl.
GGGCUUCAGAUUACACUGGAAAGAACAAACUCAUUAAGAAAUUGUAGAUCAAAAUUUAAUUUGUGGUAGUGUAACUGGUGUAUGAUUGACUCAAUUUAAUUUGCUUUCUUUUAAUUCCUAUAUUGGAUUAUUAUUUUUUUUGUAUGUAUAUAUUCUGUUUAUGCUACUAUAAAUUCUAUUAGUUUCAUAAUAAGAAAGGGUUAGUGAACUCCACGAAAUUUUGUUCAUUUAUUAUUGUUUGCAAGUUAAAAUUACAUAAUAUUAGAUUCGUGGAACUUUUUCUUUGGGAUUUUGUCUGGGGAGGGGAAUUAUAUCAGUGGAACACAUCCGGGGUUUUCCCCGCGUGCGAUGUGCGAUAGCCUCAGUCCACCUGUGUGCGAGGCUAAGGAGCACAUGUAUUAUUGAGCUCUCCCCGUAAUUGACUCUGUGUGCCAGAGAGGGAGAAGCGGUCGCCUUUUGAUCCACUGAUUAUUUCUCCUUAUUACAGGUAUGUUGUUUAUGUUGGUUCUGUUUUAUAAAAGAAAAGAGAUUUAGUGACUGAAUGUAUUCAAUGUAGAGUGUUACGGGAGAAAAUCUGAUUUAAUGAUUCAUGCAGUGCUUGACGCACGUGGUGCGGCCUACAAAUAAUACAGUGCUAAAUGUAUUAAAUUAUUAAUUUAGAUAUGAAACGUAUAAGAAUACUGAUUUAUUCAUACAAAUGGUAUUAUAAUUUGUUUUAUUUCACUGCAGUGUGUUUAAUGUAUAAAUACUGGAAUUAAUGCAUAAGUUAUAUAGAUUUUAUAUCCAAUGUAAUAUUGUAAUCUAUUUAUUGUAAUAUUUUAUACCCUUACCUUGUGAUGUAUUAAUAGAAAUGUGAUGUAUAAGAAAGACAAAGAGACAUAUUGUAAACAGUAUAAUUUAUUUUUCAUUAUUGUAUAAUCUCAGUCCACCUGUGUGCGAGGCUAAGGAGCACAUGUAUUAUUGAGCUCUCCCCGUAAUUGACUCUGUGUGCCAGAGAGGGAGAAGCGGUCGCCUUUUGAUCCACUGAUUAUUUCUCCUUAUUACAGACCAAGUAAAGGAAAGUGCU